RNAcentral lists this ribosomal RNA (424 nucleotides) under uncultured bacterium. Its description in RNAcentral is "partial 16S ribosomal RNA". It matches the Rfam family "Bacterial small subunit ribosomal RNA", at positions 360 to 776 of the family's 1533-position model. The record is from RNAcentral.
AAUAUUGGACAAUGGGGGGAACCCUGAUCCAGCCAUGCCGCGUGUGUGAAGAAGGUCUUCGGAUUGUAAAGCACUUUAAGUUGGGAGGAAGAGUUGUAGGCUAAUACCUUGCAAUUUUGACGUUACCAACAGAAUAAGCACCGGCUAACUUCGUGCCAGCAGCCGCGGUAAUACGAAGGGUGCAAGCGUUAAUCGGAAUUACUGGGCGUAAAGCGCGAGUAGGUAGUUCGUUAAGUUGGAAGUGAAAGCCCCGGGCUUAACCUGGGAAUUGCUUUCAAAACUGACGAGCUAGAGUACGGUAGAGGGUAGUGGAAUUUCCUGUGUAGCGGUGAAAUGCGUAGAUAUAGGAAGGAACAUCAGUGGCGAAGGCGACUACCUGGACUGUAACUGACACUGAGGCAUGAAAGCGUGGGUAGCAAACAGG